UCCUUGCUGGUUGAGUUAGGCCACGCCAUAGGACUUUGGCACGAGGAGACCAGAUCAGACAGGGAUACCUACGUCCACAUCAACACGGACAACGUCCUCCCAGAGAAGGAGCACAAUUUCUUCAAGGAAGCUGACAACAGCUACGGAGUGCCUUACGACUAUAGCUCCAUCAUGCAUAGCCAUGAAAGGGUCUACCAGCUGACAGGAGACAUCACCAUAGCCACCCUGAACCCGCUCUACCAGGGCCUCCUGGGACAGACUGACCAUCUGUCCCAUAUGAACAAACUUCUUGUCAACAAGAUGUACAGCUGUUCAGCCAAGCUGAUAGCCGCUGGGACCUGCACCGGCGACACUUGCCUGAACAACGGUUACCUCGCCAAGGACUGUUCGUGUGUGUGUCCAGAUGGGACGUCUGGUGCAAACUGCGAGACAGUCAAUAUCCCUUACAACAAAGCCAUCCUCUCGCCCUACACGGAGGAAAUCACCUCACCCACGACCAUCACCACGCCCAGUUAUCCUUCCAGGUAUCC
Molecule: long non-coding RNA, 530 nt
Organism: Macrobrachium nipponense
Lineage: Eukaryota; Metazoa; Arthropoda; Malacostraca; Decapoda; Palaemonidae
Exons: 3
Source: RefSeq, a predicted model, not a curated record